CUGUGUCUUGCUUCAACAGUGUUUGAACGGAACAG
Otolemur garnettii (small-eared galago) is the source of this 35-nucleotide non-coding RNA. Lineage: Eukaryota; Metazoa; Chordata; Mammalia; Primates; Galagidae. The record is from Rfam.